CGCGGGCCCUAUCAGCUUGUUGGUGGGGUGAUGGCCUACCAAGGCGACGACGGGUAGCCGGCCUGAGAGGGCGACCGGCCACACUGGGACUGAGACACGGCCCAGACUCCUACGGGAGGCAGCAGUGGGGAAUAUUGCACAAUGGGCGGAAGCCUGAUGCAGCGACGCCGCGUGAGGGAUGACGGCCUUCGGGUUGUAAACCUCUUUCAGCAGGGACGAAGCGUAAGUGACGGUACCUGCAGAAGAAGCGCCGGCCAACUACGUGCCAGCAGCCGCGGUAAGACGUAGGGCGCGAGCGUUGUCCGGAUUUAUUGGGCGUAAAGAGCUCGUAGGCGGCUUGUCACGUCGACCGUGAAAACUUGGGGCUCAACCCCAAGCCUGCGGUCGAUACGGGCAGGCUAGAGUUCGGUAGGGGAGACUGGAAUUCCUGGUGUAGCGGUGAAAUGCGCAGAUAUCAGGAGGAACACCGGUGGCGAAGGCGGGUCUCUGGGCCGAUACUGACGCUGAGGAGCGAAAGCGUGGGGAGCGAACAGGAUUAGAUACCCUGGUAGUCCACGCUGUAAACGUUGGGCGCUAGGUGUGGGGGGCCUCUCCGGUUCCCUGUGCCGCAGCUAACGCAUUAAGCGCCCCGCCUGGGGAGUACGG
This 645-nucleotide ribosomal RNA is filed under the name uncultured actinomycete. RNAcentral's name for it is "bacterial SSU rRNA". It matches the Rfam family "Bacterial small subunit ribosomal RNA", at positions 230 to 885 of the family's 1533-position model. The record is from RNAcentral. Lineage: Bacteria; Bacillati; Actinomycetota; Actinomycetes; Actinomycetales.